GAUGAACGCUGGCGGCGUGCCUAAUACAUGCAAGUCGAGCGAACAGACGAGGAGCUUGCUCCUUUGACGUUAGCGGCGGACGGGUGAGUAACACGUAGGUAACCUACCUAUAAGACUGGGAUAACUUCGGGAAACCGGAGCUAAUACCGGAUAAUAUUUCGAACCGCAUGGUUCGAUAGUGAAAGAUGGCUUUGCUAUCACUUAUAGAUGGACCUGCGCCGUAUUAGCUAGUUGGUAAGGUAACGGCUUACCAAGGCAACGAUACGUAGCCGACCUGAGAGGGUGAUCGGCCACACUGGAACUGAGACACGGUCCAGACUCCUACGGGAGGCAGCAGUAGGGAAUCUUCCGCAAUGGGCGAAAGCCUGACGGAGCAACGCCGCGUGAGUGAUGGAGGUCUUCGGAUCGUAAAACUCUGUUAUUAGGGAAGAACAAACGUGUAAGUAACUGUGCACGUCUUGACGGUACCUAAUCAGAAAGCCACGGCUAACUACGUG
This 497-nucleotide ribosomal RNA is filed under the name uncultured bacterium. RNAcentral's name for it is "partial 16S ribosomal RNA". It matches the Rfam family "Bacterial small subunit ribosomal RNA", at positions 28 to 507 of the family's 1533-position model. The record is from RNAcentral.